RNAcentral lists this ribosomal RNA (1068 nucleotides) under uncultured fungus. RNAcentral describes it as "eukaryotic LSU rRNA". The stretch from base 475 to 1068 matches the Rfam family "Eukaryotic large subunit ribosomal RNA", at positions 1 to 598 of the family's 3401-position model. The record is from RNAcentral. Lineage: Eukaryota; Fungi.
AGGGAUCAUUACCAAUGGUUCCUCGAUCGGCUCCGGCCGACCGACCACAUUACACCCUUCUUUACGCGCACCUUAUGUUCUCCUUCGGCGGGGCGACCCGCCGCUGGAACCUAACAAACCUUUUGCAUUAGCAUUACCUGUUCCGAUCAAUAUAAUCGUUACAACUUUCAACAAUGGAUCUCUUGGCUCUGGCAUCGAUGAAGAACGCAGCGAAAUGCGAUAAGUAGUGUGAAUUGCAGAAUUCAGUGAAUCAUCGAAUCUUUGAACGCACAUUGCGCCCCUCGGUAUUCCGUGGGGCAUGCCUGUUCGAGCGUCAUCUACACCCUCAAGCACUGCUUGGUGUUGGGCGUCUGUCCCGCCUCUGCGCGGCGACUCGCCCCAAAGGCAUUGGCAGCGGUCUCUUGCACCUCUCGCGCAGCACAUUGCGCUUCUCGAGGCGAGGCAGGCCGCGACCACGAAGCUUUUAUUCGUCUUUGACCUCGGAUCAGGUAGGGAUACCCGCUGAACUUAAGCAUAUCAAUAAGCGGAGGAAAAGAAACCAACAGGGAUUGCCCUAGUAACGGCGAGUGAAGCGGCAACAGCUCAAAUUUGAAAUCUGGCUCCCUUGGGGGUCCGAGUUGUAAUUUGCAGAGGGUGCUUUGGCAUCGGCGGCGGUCUAAGUUCCUUGGAACAGGACAUCGCAGAGGGUGAGAAUCCCGUACGUGGGCGCCUGCCUUUGCCGUGUAAAGCCCCUUCGACGAGUCGAGUUGUUUGGGAAUGCAGCUCUAAAUGGGAGGUAAAUUUCUUCUAAAGCUAAAUACCGGCCAGAGACCGAUAGCGCACAAGUAGAGUGAUCGAAAGAUGAAAAGUACUUUGGAAAGAGAGUCAAAUAGCACGUGAAAUUGUUGAAAGGGAAGCGCUUGCAGCCAGACGUGCCCGCAGUUGCUCACCCAGGCUCCGGCCUGGGGCACUCUUCUGCGGGCAGGCCAGCAUCAGUUUGGGCGGUUGGAUAAAGGUCUCUUUCAUGUAUCUCCCUCCGGGGAGACCUUAUAGAGGAGGCGUAAUGCAACCAGCCCGGACUGAGGUCCG